AUGAUCAGGGCCUUCCAGGAUAAUGCAAUUGAUGCAGCGAUUGUUGGUGGCCAGCAUGCUGGAAAGAGGGUGUUCAUACCUAGGAUCCCUAUGUCACCCUCCGAGGACACCUCACUUCCCUUCAAGCUUAAGAGAAAGCAGUUCCCUAUCCGCGUGAGUUUUGUGAUGACCAUUAACAAGGCACAGGGUCAAACCAUCCCAAAUGUUGGUAUUUACCUUCCAGAACCUGUUUUCUCACAUGGCCAACUAUAUGUUGCAUUGUCAAGGGGUGUCUCAAGAAAGACGACGCGGAUUAUAGCCAAGCCUAACAAGGAGGUUGAUAAAUCUGGAAGAAGCACCAAAAACAUUGUCUACAGAGAUGUUUUAGAGGGGUGA
RNAcentral lists this ribosomal RNA (375 nucleotides) under Triticum aestivum (bread wheat). RNAcentral's name for it is "partial small subunit ribosomal RNA". Lineage: Eukaryota; Viridiplantae; Streptophyta; Magnoliopsida; Poales; Poaceae. The record is from RNAcentral.